CCCGCUGAGUUUAAACAUAUCAAUAAGUGGAGGAAAAGAAACUAACAAGGAUUCCCUUAGUAACGGCGAGCGAACCAGGA
Molecule: non-coding RNA, 80 nt
Filed under: Brassica napus (rape)
Lineage: Eukaryota; Viridiplantae; Streptophyta; Magnoliopsida; Brassicales; Brassicaceae
Also listed under: 1 other name
Description: rRNA LSU_rRNA_eukarya
Rfam family: Eukaryotic large subunit ribosomal RNA
Source: Rfam by way of RNAcentral